This 253-nucleotide ribosomal RNA is filed under the name uncultured bacterium. RNAcentral describes it as "partial 16S ribosomal RNA". It matches the Rfam family "Bacterial small subunit ribosomal RNA", at positions 524 to 776 of the family's 1533-position model. The record is from RNAcentral.
UACGAAGGGGGCUAGCGUUGCUCGGAAUCACUGGGCGUAAAGGGUGCGUAGGCGGACCUGCAAGUCGGGGGUGAAAGCCCGAGGCUCAACCUCGGAACUGCCUUCGAUACUGCGGGUCUCGAGUCCGGGAGAGGUGAGUGGAAUUCCUAGUGUAGAGGUGAAAUUCGUAGAUAUUAGGAAGAACACCAGUGGCGAAGGCGGCUCACUGGCCCGGUACUGACGCUGAGGCGCGAAAGCGUGGGGAGCAAACAGG